GGGGCGGUAGCUCAAUUGGGAGAGCAUCGCGUUCGCAAUGCGAAGGUUGAGGGUUCGAUCCCCUUCCGCUCCA
Transfer RNA from Singulisphaera acidiphila DSM 18658, 73 nucleotides. It matches the Rfam family "tRNA". From Rfam's summary of the family: Transfer RNA (tRNA) molecules are approximately 80 nucleotides in length. Their secondary structure includes four short double-helical elements and three loops (D, anti-codon, and T loops). Further hydrogen bonds mediate the characteristic L-shaped molecular structure. tRNAs have two regions of fundamental functional importance: the anti-codon, which is responsible for specific mRNA codon recognition, and the 3' end, to which the tRNAs corresponding amino acid is attached (by aminoacyl-tRNA synthetases). tRNAs cope with the degeneracy of the genetic code in two manners: having more than one tRNA (with a specific anti-codon) for a particular amino acid; and 'wobble' base-pairing, i.e. permitting non-standard base-pairing at the 3rd anti-codon position. Lineage: Bacteria; Pseudomonadati; Planctomycetota; Planctomycetia; Isosphaerales; Isosphaeraceae. The record is from Rfam.